RNAcentral lists this small RNA (67 nucleotides) under Bacillus sp. V59.32b. RNAcentral's name for it is "Bacillaceae-1 RNA". It matches the Rfam family "Bacillaceae-1 RNA". RNAcentral also lists the same sequence under 1 other name. Lineage: Bacteria; Bacillati; Bacillota; Bacilli; Caryophanales; Bacillaceae. The record is from Rfam by way of RNAcentral.
AAUAAAGGAAGAACGACUAAGAACGCAACAUCCUGUUGCAACGUCGUUCUGACCCACAUCCUGUGGG